This is a non-coding RNA of Cucurbita pepo subsp. pepo (vegetable marrow), 635 nucleotides long. Lineage: Eukaryota; Viridiplantae; Streptophyta; Magnoliopsida; Cucurbitales; Cucurbitaceae. The record is from RefSeq and is a predicted model, not a curated record.
CUGCAGGAUAUUGAAAUGCGUAGAGGAAAACCAUUGUAUUUGAAUGAAGAGCGUUAUGCUGCCCUAUCAUAUAUGGUUGCUUGUCAUGGUCUUGAUCGAAAUUCAAAGGUUCUAGGCCAGACUACAAUUGGGUCUGUCUUCGUGAUUUAAUAUGGAGUAUAUUUCGAGGCGAUUCCUUUGGCCACUACGACCGUUCAGAUUUUGCACUUGCUCAUAUUAUAACUCAUGCUGAAUUCACUGUCCUAGUUUUUCCCAACAGAGAAGUAUUUGACGCCUUGGAGACACUGGUAGAGAUGUCGGAUACAGGUCGUGUAGUUCUUGGUUUUCAAGAUACUCCGCAGGAAUGAAUUCUCAUCCACAAGUGUUUUCAGAGUUGAGAAUGACCCUUUAUUUCCGUAUGGAGCCAGGAGCCAGUGGCCCAGAGGAUAUCCAAGGUGCAUUAUUAUUACCUGAGCAGUAGGUUGAAAGUCGUUUGGAAAUUGACGUGUUUGAAGUGCGGUUGUACAUAGGGAGGUCACUUGGGGUGUUAGAAGGGGAACUUGGUGCAUUUCUGGUCAACUCAAUUUUUUAUUUUUUAUUGUAAAUUAUCAACUUCCGGUUUUAUAUAUUUCUUUUUGGGGGAAAAAAAUGAAAAA